Molecule: long non-coding RNA, 4779 nt
Organism: Heterocephalus glaber (naked mole-rat)
Lineage: Eukaryota; Metazoa; Chordata; Mammalia; Rodentia; Bathyergidae
Source: Ensembl
GAGAGGGAGAGAGCCAGAGAGGGAGGCAGAGAGGGAGAGAGUCUCCAAGGUCACACUCCUGUCACCAGGACCUUCAGCUCAGUUCCACCUGCCGAGUCCCCUGCUUCCCCGUAGCCCAUGAAACUGCAAACGCACGCACGGAUUCACCCGCUGCAGAGCUCCGGGCCUUCAGGAUCCAGUCACCGCUCGGAGGGCUGCACGUCUGCUGUCUCGGGACGGAGCCUUCCACGUGGGCACUCAGGGUUCAGACGCAGCAGGCGGGCACCUCCCAGCGCGGGCCUCCUUCUGCCUGUAGACAGGAGGAAGGGGCGGGGCGGAGGAAAGGCGUCCACUGCUGGGGUCCCCGGGGGGCAACGCAGUUUCAACACGGUGCUCGUUCCCUUGGGGGACGCCCGAGAAAGGACACUUCCAGAGGCCCAGCCGAGGAGCCUGGGACAAAUUUCAGGAACAAUGGAACGCCCCUGCCCAUCGCCCGGCACGCCGGGAACCACAGCUCUGGCUUCAAUCCACCCCUCUUGGCGCCUUUCAUUUCAUUUGUUUUCCAGAGACGUCAAAACAGAGGCCCACAGCCCGGGGGGGCUUCAACAGCGGAGAUUUAUUGUCCCUGUCCGGGAACUGAGGCCCCAGGCCCAGCGUGGGCAGUGCCCGCUCCUCUGAGGCCUCGCUCCUGGGCUCCCUGUGACUUCACAGGCGUGUCCCUCUGUGUGUGUCCACGUCCUCCAUCCUCUGCUCAGAAGGGCCGAGCCCUGUGGGGUUGGGGCCACCCGGGGGACUCAGUUUACCUUCACUGGCUCCUAGGACCCUGUCUUAAGACACAGCUGCAGCCUGAGGUCCUGGGGUCAGAGAGUCAAUCAACAAACAUCCACUCUCCAUAGAGCUGCAUCCUGAGGUGCUGGGGGUCAGUGAGUCAAUCAAUAAACAUCCAGUCUCCCCACAGCUGCAGCCUGAGGUCCUGGGGUCAGAGAGUCAAUCGACAAACGUCCAGAAACACAACUUGCUCCACAUGAAACCCCAGGUCUGCCCUGUCCACCCGCAGGUUUGACACUUCCAGGGUUCGGGCCAGUCCUUUGACAAACAUCCCGAUCUCCUUCUAUAGUCUAGAAACAAUAACACCUUCCAAACCUGGAUUCCAAACGUGCUCUCUGAGCAUGUCGAUUCCCCACCCACGCGGGAGAUGGAGGGUUAUUUGAUAAGAACGGAACACCUUGAUGCAUCUGCAGAGACUGGGAGUCUCUGCUAGGAGGAGGGACCCCAGAGGGCUUGGAGGAGAGUCUUUGGGGACCCCAGCCCCUGGCUGAGCUCCAAGACAGAGAAGUUUUCUGGGUGAACAGGGAAAGGGAGGUGUUUGGGGAACAGGAGACAGCGGGCUGCACUGCCACGCAUGGGUGAAUGAACGUGUGUCUGUGCGUGUGCUGUGUGUAAGCACACAUGCUCCGGGAGAGGAAACGACAAUACUUUGGACUGCCGUUUCCUGCAGGUCAGAUGACUUCAAACUGAGUCGUUAGAACAAGGCAGCCCCGCCCCAGUCUGCUGGCUGCCAGCUCCACCAUCUCACCAAGCUCCCGGGUAACACCCUCAGCCUUAAAUCUCCUCUUCUGCAAAACAAGGCUCACUUCAUCCACAUGGUGGGGUCAAAAUGCAAAUCAAAGCGGGGGAUGCUCCUAGCACGAAGGGUCGAGCCAACUCGGCCCAGGCCGGACGUGGUUGGUGUCCUGUGAUGCCCCCGUAGAAGGCUGGUGGAAGCUUUGCUUACAGAGGACAACAACACAGGGAUCUCCGAAGGCGAGCUUGCUACAUGAUCGACUCUGUCGCUGUUCGCUAACACUGUUCAACCCGAACUCAAACGAUCCAGUCCAGGUUUCAGGGUUUGGACGUGGCAUCAAGCUUGUGCAUCAAGCUUGCAGAGAGGGAAACUGAGUCAAAGAUCUUCCUGCCUGGAGUAUGAUCAGUGUGGAGGAAAGGCAGAUUCAUCUUCCUGCCUCCCACUGACCGCUUCCUGCAUCCAGGCCCCACCUCCUACAGCAGCUUCAGCCAGGAGCUCAUCCAUGGAUGGAUCCACCGAUGACCACAGCUCCCUGGGACUCAGUCACCUUCCACACAGGGGAUCUUGGGGGACAUUUUAGGCCUAAGCCGUCUUCAUCCAGGGGCCCGUAUCCAAGAGCCUCUUGGGGGAGUGGUCCCCAUCCUGAGCAGCACGGGUCUCGAGUUGUCCUACUUCUGCCAUCUUGUUUUUGCUAGGGUCCACCCCCCACCCCCAGCCUUCAAGCAGAUGCUCCGUUUCCUUAUCAACGCUUCUCCCCUCUCCACUUUCUACUGCCCAAAGGUGGUUUUACCACAAGCAGUGCUGCACGGCCAGACCUAUCCUUGAUUGAAGGAUGUGCCUGCCCACCCCAAGCAGCUUUCAACCUGGUUGAAAAGCGUUUCUCUAGUAGAUCAUUGCCUUUCUGGUGGGACCCAGAAAUUCCACCCCACUGUGGUGAGGUCUUUGCAGACUUUGUACUCCCCAGGAGAGAGAGCUUUGAGCUCCUCCCGGUCCUGCCAUCUGCAGAAUAGAAACAACCCACAAAUGCAGAAAUGGUGUCUGAGCUAGUACAUUUCCCAGGGGUCCUCCUGCCCCUGAGUGUGGGUCAGCUUUCUGCUGCUGUGAUAAAAUAGUCGAGAAAAGAAGCUUAUGGAAGAAAGGUUCAGUUUGCCUCACAGUUCCCGAGGGUUCAGUCCAUGGUCAACGUGGAGGAAGGGUGUGGCUGAGGAAAAGCUGCUCAGUGGAUGGUGGCCAGGAAGCAGAGGGAGAAGGAACAAGAAUAUGCCUUUCCAGGUAACCCCACCCAAGGACCAACCUCGUCCAACCAGAGCCCACCUCCUCCUCCUGCCUUCAGCUCUGAGCUCGUGAAUGAUGAACCCACUGAUGAGUGUGGUCCACUCACCUUCUGAAAGCCCCACCGCUGGAUAUGUGAGCCUUUGGGGGAAACUUAGAGAUCCAGACGGUAACACCCCAAUAACCUACCUCACCCCACUAGACCUCCCUCUCCUCCUAAGAGUUCUGCAAUUUCCCAGCAGCACCAUCGACUGGAGACUGAAGCCUCAGCACACGAGUCCCAUGGAGAAUAUUCAGAUCCCAAACCACAACACCUUUCUCUCCUUCUGAACCCCACUCUUUGGGGUUCACCCCUUCUCUUCUAGUGCCAUCUUUCUGUCCCAGGGUCCCUCAGACAUCGAGGUGUCUUGCUUCCCCACGCAUUUCUCAGAUGGGACAGUUUCUGACGUGUUCUUUGUUUUCCAUGACCAUGAGAGUCCGGAGGAGAACUGGUCUACCCUGUACUGCGAUUCUUCUGAUAUUUUUCUCAUGGAUAGAUAGGGAUGGCUGGUUUUGUGGGGGAAGACGAUGGAGAUGAAAUACCUCCCCAACGCAGCCUACCGAGAGCCCAUGUUAUCACCAUGCCCCAUCUCUGUUGAUGUUGGCUUUGGACAUCUGCUGAAGCAAUAUUUGGCAGGGACAUGUUCCCCCAGUGUCGUGAUCUUGGACAGAAACCAUCCCAUGCUUUGGUCUCUGAAGGGACAGAGAGCUCUGGUGGCAGUGAAGCCUUCUGUCAUCCUGCCCACCAGGUCAAGCCAGGGCGCCAGACCACCAGUAGACCAUGGCUCCAACAGGCAGCUCAGGCCCUUGGAGGUCGCAAGCAGCCCAACCCUCCUCUGGGGCUACCCAACCAGCACGCCACCCCAGCUGCACUACGGGGGAGAAGGGUGGGUGACUGUUGCUGAGGAUUAAGGCCCUCUCCCCCUUCACCCAUCUUGCCAAGCCAUGACCAAGAGAUCAGGCUCCUGGGCAGUUCACCUCGGGGGGCCAUGUGGGGAUCCCCAACCUCCAUCCAGCCUCUGGUCACCGCUGGCCACCCCUGCCCAGCUGCCUGGCUCUCUCUGCUGUGACAGCGUCCUCAGCCUCAUCCUUGUGCAUAGUGACAACAUCCCUGGGUCCCAUUGUCGUCCGAGGGUCAGGCCAGGGGGAGUGUUGACCUGCACCCCUGGCUGGAUGGGCCCCCCUGGAGGACCGUCACCUUCUAACGAUGCCAUCGCCAGGGUAGGUGCCGCUGGGGACCUACCCCACGUCAUUCUCAGAUGCAAGCCACGCCACGCGCCAAUGCCAAUCCCAGCCAGUGGUCCCGGCCUCCUCAUGUGUGCAGAGCAAGCAGCCGGCUGGGAAAAAGACACCCAAGGGGCUCCCUGGGUUCCUCCAGCCGAGUUACCUAGGAUGUUCUGGUGUCAUCUUGCAAAGAGGAGAGACCGUGUCUUAGAAGCAGAGAAUCACCCUGUGAAAUGGUGGACUAGAGAUUUUGCAGGUGCAAUGAGAGGGCUCUGGGACAUUCUAGUAGCAUAUCCAGCAUUUAGUUCCUUUGGAACGCGAACCUAUGCAUAAGGCACUUUCUCCAGUGCAUCCUGUGUGAGACUCCUCUGGCUACCAGGAAGGACCCCAGACCUCCCUGCCCUGUGCUUGGCUGACAGCAGAAUGAAGGAGGUCUCCAUGUGGAGCUGUAAAGUCCAUGUGAACAUCCGUGCUGCGGUGCCCCCAGCAGCACCCGCCCCUCGUCCUGUUGGUCUGUGCCCUGGUGAGCUUUUUCUACACUCUUCCUCCACACCGCCGCUGUCGUCCCGUUCUGCAGGUGUGAAUUUUGAUGCCUCGGUGUUGUCCUGUCAUCGCUUCCGCCUCCGUGUGUGCAGGGAGGCUGUGAGGAUGGAGCUGAGACAUUACAGCUAUUCCAGACAAUAAAAUAUUUUUGAAACCGC